RNAcentral lists this ribosomal RNA (460 nucleotides) under uncultured bacterium. Its description in RNAcentral is "partial 16S ribosomal RNA". It matches the Rfam family "Bacterial small subunit ribosomal RNA", at positions 338 to 795 of the family's 1533-position model. The record is from RNAcentral.
CCUACGGGUGGCAGCAGUGAGGAAUAUUGGUCAAUGGACGCGAGCCUGACCCAGCAACGUCGCGUGAAGGAUGACUGCCCUACGGGUUGUAAACUUCUUUUAUAAAGGAAUAAAAUGAGGCACGUGUGCCUUUUUGUAUGUACUUUAUGUAUAAAGAUCGGCUAACUCCGUGCCAGCAGCCGCGGUAAUACGGAGGAUCCGUGCGUUAUCCGGAUUUAUUGGGUUUAAAGGGAGCGUAGAUGGGUUGUUAAGUCAGUUGUGAAAGUUUGCGGCUCAACCGUACAAGUGCAAUUGAUACUGGCAGCCUUGAGUACAGUUGAGGUAGGCGGAAUUCGAGGUGUAGCGGUGAAAUGCUUAGAUAUCACGAAGAACUCCGAUUGCGAAGGCAGCCUACUAAACUGCAACUGACAUUGAUGCUCGAAAGUGUGGGUAUCAAACAGGAUUAGAUACCCCUGUAGUC